GCACAACGCGAAGAACCUUACCUACUCUUGACAUCCAGAGAACUUAGCAGAGAUGCUUUGGUGCCUUCGGGAACUCUGAGACAGGUGCUGCAUGGCUGUCGUCAGCUCGUGUUGUGAAAUGUUGGGUUAAGUCCCGCAACGAGCGCAACCCUUAUCCUUUGUUGCCAGCGGUUAGGCCGGGAACUCAAAGGAGACUGCCAGUGAUAAACUGGAGGAAGGUGGGGAUGACGUCAAGUCAUCAUGGCCCUUACGAGUAGGGCUACACACGUGCUACAAUGGCGCAUACAAAGAGAAGCGACCUCGCGAGAGCAAGCGGACCUCAUAAAGUGCGUCGUAGUCCGGAUUGGAGUCUGCAACUCGACUCCAUGAAGUCGGAAUUGCUAGUAAUCGUGGAUCAGAAUGCCACGGUGAAUACGUUCCCGGGUCUUGUACACACCG
This 438-nucleotide ribosomal RNA is filed under the name uncultured bacterium. Its description in RNAcentral is "bacterial SSU rRNA". It matches the Rfam family "Bacterial small subunit ribosomal RNA", at positions 954 to 1392 of the family's 1533-position model. The record is from RNAcentral.